RNAcentral lists this transfer RNA (68 nucleotides) under Marmota monax (woodchuck). RNAcentral's name for it is "tRNA.Ala". The record is from RNAcentral. Lineage: Eukaryota; Metazoa; Chordata; Mammalia; Rodentia; Sciuridae.
GUUGUGGCUCAGAGUUAGAGCGCUUGCUUGGCAUGCGUGAGGCACUGGGUUCGAACCUCAGUACCACA